UUUUUUUUUCUCUGUGUGUGUGUGAGAGAGAGAGAGAGAGAAGGAAAGGAAUGAGGCAUAGGGAGAAGGGUGGUAAGUUUUCAACCUGCUUAAGGCUUCGAAGGUAUGUUGAGGAUUUUCUUCUAGAUGAGUACCAUGCCAGCGAGUUGAUCUGCCAAAUAGUAUUUUAUUCUUUAGCAUGGACAAGUAAGUUUACCUGUAGCUUUUCCUAGCCUAUCCCUUUUUUCUCUCCCUGAGACAAAUAAUUUCACUGUGAGAUAACAGUAAGAAAAAAUCCUCUAAAAAUUUUGGCAUCUGCAUGCCUUAGGGUUAGCAAAUCAGGUGUGCAGAGGUAGAAGUGGAAUAUAAAGCAUGUCUCAGUGUUGCUCAUCCAUAGCCAGAGGUUUAUGAGGAAUAAAACCUAUCUGAAUUUGAUUUAAUACUGUGUGCUCCCUGACUUUCAUCUUGCAUUAUAAUCUUUAGCACAGAAAGGUUGAAUAAGAAUGCAACAGGAGUAAGCUGAGUGCUGCUUGUAUUGUUUCAGCGCCUUGGUGAAUUUCUCACCUGACAUUCUCUUUACUGGGACAUAAAAAUAUGAAAAUUUCUUACUUGGGAUUCAGCUGUAUUGUAACACAGUGCUUUUCUUGCAGACCGGUUUCCAUUUAUUUUAUGUUUUGCUUAGCAUUUUACAGGGAAAUUAGCUGAUGGAAUGUAAGAAAUCACUAUAUUGACAAUUACAUAAUCAGUCAGAAGGUAGGGUUAAUAGUUACAGUAUCUCAAAACAAAGCUACUUCAGGCUUUAAAGGUGUAACCAGAGCGCUGCCAAACAGAUGCUGUUCCUCUAACGGCACUGGGCUUUCUGUCUUUAUAAGGAUUUGCAGGAACUGAGUGGAAGUCUUGCUCUGGUAGGGGAUGCUGAACCCAUCCCAUAGGAAGCUGUUGAGAGGAAGCACAUGGGUGGCUGCAGGCAGGAACACAGUCGCUGCAAGUCACAAGUGGAACAAAUGCAGUGAGGAAGCAGCCGGUUUGCAUCGUGGUUGUUGCGAGGGCAUAGUGACAUUUUCUGGCAUAGGGGUUUGAUAGUGAACCAGAAUCAUGAAAAGCUGUGUUAUGACUGCAGGCAGCAAAGAAGUGGGUGAAGACAGGAAAGGGAGAGGCCAUGUGAGAAUGUACAGCCUGCAGAGCUUCCUGGAAGUUUUUUUGAUGCUAGACAUUUUAGCAUUAUGCUCCAACUUCAUGCUAAAUGUUGAAUGUAGCCUACAAAGACUUCACUCUCCUUCACAGGUUUUCCCUGAGAGCUCCUGUUUGUGGGGUUGUGUGAUUUCUUAAAAAUUAACCUACUCAAAUUUUGCUUUCCUAAUUCCCUUUCGGUGAAUCGGAGAAUCGUAGGAUGGCUUGGGUUGGAAGAGGCCUCAAAGCCCACCUAUUUCCGACUCCCCUGCUGUGGGCAGGGCUGCCCCCCACCAACUCAGGCUGCUCAGGGCCCCAUCCAACCUGGCCUUGAUACCUCCAGGGAUGGGCACCCACAGCCUCUCUGGGAAGUCUUGCUGCCCUCUGAGUAAAGAAUUUCCACCUAACAUAGAAAUCUCCCUUCCUUUUAGUUUAAAGCCAUUCCCUCUUGUCCUGUCACUAUCAAACCAUGUAAAAAGUUGGUCUCUUUCCUGCUUAUUAGCCCCUCCUUGAGUACUGGAAGAUGGCAGUGAGGUUUCCCUGGAGCCUUCUCAAAAUGUAUAAAUUUUAAGUAUCAUUUCUACUUUUGUUUGAAGCACUCCUGGAACUACUCUUUGCAUUGGCCACCUUGCACUUUCAAAAAUCAAAGACAUUUGAAAAAUUAACAGUAUGUAGUUGUAUCUACCAGUUAAUUUGCCUCUUCAGCAAACGAGUAUGAAUAACGUAAAAAAAACCUACCGAUAGAUCUUGAGCAACAUUUGAGAAAAUGUGUUUUUUACUGUAUUUUUAUUCACAGAAAUUACUGUAUUAGUGUUAACAUUAGUUUAUAAAAAGUCUCGCACACCUUGGGAAAACCUACAAUACACUGAUUUUCAAAAAAUGACCUCCAUGCAAAAACUUUGAACUGUAAGUGAGCAUAACUAUGUGUCUUCUGUAUAGCAAAUUUCAAAACCAAAUAGCACACUGUAUAGAAUUUUAUAUAUGGUUUUGAUUCAUAAGAAUGCUAGGACUCUGCUUCUUUCCAUUGCUUCAUUUAUGCCAAGAACUGUUCUAGUAUUUCAAGACUUCCAGCAACAUAAAACUCAAGGGAGAUUUUUUUUGGACUUCAAAGGUCCAAAUAUCAAAGUAAUGAUGUAUUUUAUGUUUUUCUUAAUAAAUAUGUGCAUGUGUUAUUAAUUCAUGUUUGAUUGUGCUGAGAAAUAUUAGGACAAUUAACACCCUCCAGGAAGGACAAUGACUUUGUUCAUGUCUGCAUUCAUUUUAAAGUAGCCAUCCUAACACUGCAUCUAGAAAGCCCUUAUGCCAAAUUGCAGAAUAAUGUUAACGUGGUAACCACCAUUUGGUGACUCUGGCCAAUGCAAUGUUGGGGUGUGUCAAUUUGCAUGAUGAAUCUAUAUGGGUCCAUAGUACAUAAAAUAUGAAAUGAUGUAUAGAGUGCUAUUUUUGUUGAAAUAUACAGGCAGCAUCUAAGCAAAUUGAAUGUUUACUUGCAUGAAACCAGUUCUCUUACACUUUAUGUUUAGUUGUAGAGUAGCCAGAUAGAGAGCUUUUCUAGGUUAGGUGCUUUAGGGCUUGUGGUUAGAAAAUAGCUUGUAGAACACUUCUGUUGUCAGUAGCCUGGAGGGAUGCAGGACUUCUUGUCUUUUUUUACUGACACACUUUGAGUCACAUUGUACUUUUUCAUAGAAUGCUACACGUGUCAUCAUGUACAACGGGUCAAACAUUUGUGGGUGUUGGUGCAUGUACCAAAGAUGCAUUUUGCCUGGAUGAUAGCUUGAUAAAUCAUUACCGUGUAGUUUCCAUUGUCUAUGAAGCUAAGCUAUAAAUUCCUUGGCAGUCAGGGUUACCUGGAGACUAAUAUAAAGGUUGCUAGUAUAAAGGUAGCCUGCUUUGUUAUUUCAGAUGUACAAGUGUGCCAAAAAGUGAGGCUAAUGGUCUGCAUUCCAGAGCUCAGGACAGAGCCAAAUCAGCAAACUGGAGACCUCUUGUCUACACUAUUCAUUCCAGCUGGUCAGGACUUUUUUGGUAAUCCAAUUUUUAUUUUGAAAAUACUGAUCUGUCACAAGCAAAUUUUUUUUCUGUAAAGCAUAGCAGUUUUCACAUAAUUUACACUGGAGAAAUAUUUAUUAGGUCCUGGAAGGAAUUAAUACUCCAAGCCAGGAGCUCAUGAUGAGAACAGCUUGAUGGCACGUAGGAGAGUGCUUUCAAGGCCCUGUUUCUUUGAUUAGUAUGAGUUUCUGGUGUCACAUGAGUAGCCUGCAUUACUGUUUGUUGGUAAAUCUCUUAUCCUUCCCUCAUUUAAUUUCAAGUCUAUAUGCAGUAGAGUGUUAAUAAUAAAUAAAUUCUGAUAUUUUAAUGGGAUAGGACAGGAAAGCCAUUUUCUGACCAGCUCUAUGCAAUAGGUAGUACAGUGGGUAUGUCCUAAUGCUGUGUUAGAAAUACUUUGUUUGUCUUUAAAUCUCAGCAAUGAGCUUCAUGAUAGGAGAGCGUGAGAAAUAAAAAUUCCUGAUCUGUGGUGACCUGGGCAACUGUAUCUUUCUCUUCCACACAUAUCUAAGCACAGAAGAAAUUCUGUGCUGCAGCAUACUGUCAAAUGAACUUCAUUCAUUUCUCGCUUUCUUUUCACUGUAUGUUUUGUUGAUACAGCUGAUUUAAACCUCUCUGAAAUGAAGGGUGCAACCACUCCUUUUUUGAUGGUGGUAAGGAUUAAACUUCUUUAUACAACCAGGAAGCUAAAACAAUAGUAGCCUCCGCCCUGCUGUGGAUUCUGGGACUGCUUAGUGUAUAGUUUAAGGUAAUCUAAACAGUUCAGAUGCAGUCAGGUUGAUUUCCAACAAUAAAAAGAUCCAGUAAGGUUAGUUUUCACAUACCUGCAUGUUCACUAGCUACUUCAUUUAUAAAGCAAAGUUUGUUGACAGAUUCUAAAGAAAUGACAAGUUGGCUAUGUAAAUUUGCAGAGGGAGGCUUGAUCACUGUCACUGAUUUAUGGCUAUCAUUGGCAUUUAUUUAUGACAUUAUUUGUGGCAUUUUUUAUGGCUAUUUAUAUUUCAAAAUAUAAAAUGAACAAAACAACUUAGUCUCCUUUCCCUUUGCACCCUGUUGCCUAGUAUAUAUAUCUGUAUAUAAUUUUAUUGGUGAUACUAACUUCCUUAAUAAAUGAAAAAUUACAUACCUUAUUUGAUACACCUUUCCCCAGCAGACUUUGUAUCACAAAUUACACUUUGGAAUAGUAAUUAAAUGAAGAAUCUAGCAAACUGUUGCUAGUUAGUUUAGUUAGCAUCAGUUAUACAACUCUGCAAGAACUUUGUGAGGAGUCAGCAUUGUUCUAAAUGGAGAUGUAAACCUCAUAUUUCUGUUUACUAUUGUAAUUCCUCAGGCUCUCAUUUUGGUUAUGCCAUAAGUAAAAAAAUAGAAUAUUUUUAAAUAGCAUUUCAUAAAAUUAAACUGCUGUCUCAAAGAGUGAAUGACAUGUUAGUCAUUCUUUUUAUUUUUUUAUUUUUAUUUUUUCCUGUUAAUUGAUUUAACUUGAAAGGGAAGAGAGGGAUAAGUUUGUAGUAGUUGAGUAAUACUCAGCUCUUAUGUCCCUGAUCACUCUACUGUGUUUCAAGCAUAGAUUAACAGAGGGAAAGAUCUGAUCUUCUGUACUAUCUCAGAAGAUGAUAAUUUGUUCUGACCUUUCUCUAAGUUGUGAGAUGACAUCAAUUUGUCUGAAAGUGGGGUGUGCAAAAUACAAGAGGUGGAGAGUGAAAUCAUGAAGAAGAAUGAGGUGACUGUGGAAAAGAAGGAUCAUUGGUUGUUUCCCAUCAUAACAAAGUCUCAUGAAAGUAUCAAAGUUCUCUUCAGGUUGUGAAAGUCACUGACAUGAUACUUGUAGUCUUGUGAACUGAAAUCUCUAGUUGGCACUUGUGCAUCUACAGUUUACUUAUCCUUAGGAAGGGGGGGAGGAGCUUCUUGCAUUCCAAGCGGUCUAGUAUUUCAGUUUUUACUGUUAUUCAUAGAUGGUAUGUUACUAUCUGAAGGCAAGAGAUCUGUUAUCUUAAUGUUAUACAAGUAAUAAUAAUAAUAAAAAAAAUAGUUUUUAUCAAAAUGAUUCCACUGUCUUUGAUGGACUCAGCAAAUGUCCAGGAGAGAAGGUUAUGCUGAUUUUUGAAAUAGCUUUGGCUUUUUUUGCACAUAAGUCAGAUGUCUAGAUAACCUUUCACAGCCAGAGGUCAGCCAUACAACAGCCUUCCAAACAUUACUGUCUUUCUUCAGGUGCUGGAGGCAAACCUGUAUUUCCUGGAUUAUGUGUUGAUACAAACAUUUGUACUGUUUGAUAUUGCCUCUUCAUUUACUGUGGCUGAUGAUAGAAAGAACAUUGAUAAUGUUCUUCGGCUGGUGAUUGUUCUUGUCAUAUGUAGACUCACACAACAGAAGUUUCAAUUAUUGUUUAGCUCCCUAAAUUUAGUACAUUCAAAUUUAGUCACUGCAAGACUAUGAUCACUGUGCAUAGACCUGCACAGCUUGGCAUAUCUAGUCUGCUUCUAGAUACUUCCAACUCUAGGUGUGCUCUUGGAAAGACUUAUUUCCAAGUUCUAUAUGCAUUGAAAAAGAAAAGGAAGAUGUUUUACCUCUUGGAUGCGUAUAGCUGUAGCUGGUUGUUCAUAUAGCAGUUUGAUGUUUCCUUGAGUAGAUAUACUAAAACAAAACUGGAGAAUGUCUCAAGAAAGUUCUAUUAGCACAAUAGGAUAUUAUGAAAGCCUAUAUUUUUCUUUUGAAUAUCAUAUGUAUGUAUUCAUAACCUAAUACAUUGGAAAGCAGUUCAUCACCAACACAGGAGAGAACUGUUUCUGUGACAUCUUGGAAGUUUCUUAGAGAUUCUAGCUGACGCUUUGCUCUUUGUAUGUUCUUAAUUUGAGAAGUUUCAGUAGAAACAUGACAGUGGUAAUAGGCAUAAUGUCAGCUGAAAAGAGAUGCCUUUUAAAUAAUCCACUGUGUUUGUUUCAGUAGACUAAUCGAAUCUUCCUGUAGAGUAGUACAGAAAACAGAUGAGUCCCCAUAACGAAAUGCAGACGAAGGCCAUUUGUCCUCUGAUUUAAACUUCUGUAUGUAGUUCUCUACCUAAUUUCAAAUUUAACCUAGAAGUAACUAUUUUUACUCUAAAGAGUCUUCUAAUCUUGCUGGAAUUCCAUAACUGCACAUUAAUAAUAGACUAUUUUUGGAAAUAGAGGCCUCUAGAAGUUUACUGAAUGCUAAAAGUCUUUAAAUUCUGGAUUCAUUGAGGCUGUCAGUGUAGUAUCUUCUAUAAUUGUAACUAAAUUUCUUGGUAUAUUAAUUCUCUUUUCCCCUCUGCUUCCCUCCCCUCUCCUUCCCUUCCCUCCCCUCCUCUCCUCUCUCCUCUUUCUUUUUCUUCCAGAUGCCAGCUUUAAAGCAAUUUUUAGCAAAUUAGGGUAUCUCCAAAACAAUCACUGACAUAUGAAAGGUUAACACCAUCUAUUGACUUUAAGAUCCUGAUUUGUAUUUCUUGAUGUCCAGCCUCUGAUUGUGACUUCUUUUGUUUUGCUGGUUUCAUGUAAAAUUCUAGCUUAUGACUUCACUGUUCACACAUAUUACGGCUUUUGUUACUAAGCAGCAGUGCAGAGUGAAAAUAAUGAGCAUAAAUUUACCGCAUUAACUUUGAGAGGGUACACCAAUUCAAUAAAUCUUACUGAGAUUAGUUAGUAAUGUGCCUAGGCUUCCUCACUGUGAGUGUAUAGCUGGCUAUGAGUUCAACUGAAUCAUAUGAUUAUCUUGUCUAUGGAAGGCAACUGCUAAGAAUGCAGCAACCAGAUACCAUAGUAUUCCUUUAAAGGGAAGUUAUUUAUUUGUUAGGCACACCACAUAUAUCAUCUGUUAGUUCACGUGCUCCUGUUUCAGCGAUUAAGUUCGACUCUUCUCUUGCUUGCUUCUGUGCUCAGACCAAGAGUAAGUGCUUGCAAGCUGUUUCUGUUUCUCAGUUUGAAUUCACCUAUUGCUUCACUGUGUUCCAGCAAUGACUUUGUUGCUGUGUUUGCAUACCAUCUUAAAAUAUUUUUACUUUUUUCAAGGUCUUUUAUGAAGCCAGCCUAUGAGGAGCACGGUUGUUUGUAAAAGUGUGUACAGUGCAAGAGUUCAGAGAACCGGAGAUGUAUAUGAACAGAGAAAGAAAAAGUUUAAUCUCUAGGAUGGUAAACUGUAGAGGCAAGUUCUAAAUUCCUGGUGAGUCAGGAAUUAAAAAAUACUGCUGUUGUGUCCUGAAAUAUUUUGGCAGGACCUUCCUAUAAAAAUACAGCUUCACAGACACCCCAUGAAUUUGAAAUUUAGUUCUUUUUUUUUUUUUUUAAGAACAGUAUUGAGUGAAGUCCUGUCUUCCAUGAGUGACUGGCAAAGCUUCAUGGACUCAGUGGGAAUUUUGCCUUACCUUCAGUGGAACUGGGAUUUCACCCUCCAUUUUUACUGCUCUUCUUAUUGAAGGAUUCUGCAGUGACUCACUAUUACUAGGUUUGAUACAUGUUCAGAUACUCGUGAGACACAGCGUUUCUAAUAGCUCACAUCAGUAUUACAGAACAACUUUUAAAAUAUUCUUCAUUUCCUGCCUUGAAACUUCUGUGGGAUUCUGUAAGCAGAGAUCUUCAGCUAUUUCCCCCUUAUUUCAAAGAAAGCAUCCUAAUCCUGCCAACACAAACGAGAACUUCAAUAAUGAUGAAUAUUGGACUUUUUAUUCUUCUGAAAAGUCACACCUGCGGUAGCACUCUUGUCAAAGAAUUUGGUGUGUGAUUUCCAGUGAGUUGCUAAGAACUACAGGAUUUCAGAGGAGAAGUUACAAGAGGUAUAAAAAUGAAAGAGAUCCUGAAGCUAGAAGCAAAAAUCCUGGCUGUAUGUGGUUAAGCAGAGCAGAAACAAAAGAAUUUGAGGAUUUGUUCUGCUGUAGCAAUUGCUGAAUUACUAUUCCCGUUCUGAAGUAGUUCCUCUUUGAGAAGCAAAUGUCCCAGAGAUGCAUCAGAUGAAAGAUUAUAAUAGUCUUUUUGAUUCUGUUAGCUUUUGCUGCUUCAUGUCUGAGUUCAGAUUUGACUGGGACAGUUCACUGUUGUGUCACGUACCAGUUUUUCUUAUUAAAAACAUAGCUGGAUCUAGGUGUUAGGAAAGUUAGGAAAGUUUUGUGAGUAUGAGGUUUGCCUGCACACCUAUGGCUGAAAGUAGUUUCAGUUGCAGAAGUGGGUGUUCAUUGCAUCACUUAGUAAUAAAUUAUGUUUAUAGACUCCUUCUUUUGAGCUUAUUGCUUAUAGUUUCCUUUCCAGAUCUCCUCGAAGCAGAAAGGCCAUGUCAAUAGUUAAUAAUUAAUUUUCCAUGUUGAAUUGUGUGGAGUAGAGCUAACCUUUGCAAGUAUUCCUACUGGCUUCAGUGGAGAUACAGGACGCACCCGUCAAGAAACUAAACAUGACAGUUAAGAUUAAUAAUGAAUUUAACUGAAUUUGACUCCUUUGAAAACAAAACAAAACUCAAAAAACUCUACUGAGUAUCUUAAAAGAAGGGUGUCAGUUGCAAUGGGAAGGAAUCAGAGUAGGAGUCCACAGCUCAGUGCCAAGGAAUAGCAGAGUGUUUACAUUGACUUACUUGCAGUGAAGACUUUGGGUUUAUAUCAACACAGCAGAUUGCAACCAGUUCCAGUUAUAACCUCACCGAAAUAGACCUCUACAGUGAAAGCACAUAUUCUGUGCACGUACAGCAUUGUGCUUACUGACUGUAGGAGGUUAAAGCCACUAAUUGCCUCAUGGCAUGGUUAGCACAAAGUGAGACUGAAGGUGCUGCUGUUUUGCUGUUAAAGAAAACAGAGAAAGACAACUACAGCUCACUUGAGUCAUUCUGUGACAACUGCAGGCUUCACAGUUUGUACCUUCUUUGUUAUUACAAAUUUGAGUGUUGCAACUCCCUUGACUAACAUUUGAUAUUUACCCAAAUAUUAACUGCACAUUUAAAAAGCUCUUUUAAACUAACAUACCAAGUGAGAAAAUUUCUUCUUGAAAUGCUCUUUUUGAUGCUGUGAAAUAAGUAGAUUGUAAAAAGGAUAUUGAGGUGUAAUAAUAUUUAAUAUUUCCUGGCACUUGGGGCACUUUUUAUGUUCUCUGGAAAACUUUGGAUGGAAAAGAAAACUGAAUGAAACAAUAUAGAAUCAUAGAAUCAUUAAGGUUGGAAAAGACCACAAAGAUCAUCUAGUCCAACCAUGAACUCAUUACCCAUGCCCACUAAACCACAUCCCUCAUAGCAACGUCUACCCUUUUCCUGAAAUCCCCUAGUGAUGGUGACUGUACCACCUCGUUAGGUCCAGCCCAUUCCAACACCUCACCACUCUUUCUGAGAAGAAAUUUUCCAUAACAUCAAACCUGAAUCUCCUAUGGCACAACUUGAGGCCAAUCUCUCUUGUCUUAUUACUGUUACCAGGGAGAAGAGGCUGACCCUCACCUUGCCACAACAUCCUUUCAGGCAGCUGUUAAUAUUAGUUGGCUGAAUUGAACUGUUUGGUUUCUUUUGAAGUCUAGGUACACGGUGCAUGUAAUUUGCUCUAAAAAAUCACGACAGUCACUUAAUAGUCACUGUCUGAAAAGAAAUCCUAGAGUGGCACAUAUUUAUUCUGCAGUGCAGAUCCUGGAUGCAUUUUUCUGGAUUUAUUCCAAUAUAAUGGAUACAAUCUGUAACAUAAUUGAAUUAUUCAUUCUUGUAAAAAUUUCAAGCACUUUUGUCCAAAAUAUAUACACACAGCACGGUACGUUGAAAAGAGAUGAGAGAAAGUGUUGAGUAAUACCUUAAUUUUCUGAGCAAUGUCAGUGUAUAUCAUGUACAAGUUCAGUUGGAAUCCAUCUGUAUUUGUGUUGGUUAUUGAUUUAUAAUGACUUGUUGAAUUAUGGUAUGAGAAUAAUUAUGUACUAUCAUGAACGCAUACAGAGUUCAAUUGCAGUCUUUGCAAUAGCAUCUAACUAUACUAGUUCUUUAGCACAAUUUGGAAAAAGUACUUUUAGAAAAAUUACACAGUCAUUGGUGUGUUAUAUUGUAACUUGUGUGCCCUAGUAUGCAAUCAUUAUAAUGUGCAUGUUUAUGUCGCAAAGUGAAAUGCUUCUAAGUCCAGUACCAAGUUCUCUGGCUUCAAUGAUACAGAUUCAGUACAGUGGUGCAGAAGUAAAAAGCUUAAAUGGACUGGAAUGUAAGAAGAAAUAAUAUUAUGCAAUAGUGGUAAUACAGUAAAUCUGUUAUGGCGAAUUUUGCUAACAAGAAAUUAUUUAUCUUAAAAGGUUAAGUUUUAUUAGAAGACUCAUAAAAGUAAAUGAUUAUUGGGAAAAUAUACAGGAAGAUAUAGAAUGCUUCUGUGUCACACAAAAGUAGUUGCUGUUACAGCUUAUGAGGAUUUCAGUAACAGCUCCGUUACUACCUAUGCUGUCUUUUCAAGGGGUGUCUAUGAAAAUAUUGAGAGAUAACUAUAUUAUCCAAAAAGUGUGUUUCUGAGAUAGGUCUUAACUAGGAGAAUGAAAGCUGAGUAGUACAUUUUAAAGAAAAUGAUGAUGACCAUCUUCUUUUAGGAAGAUGCUUCUCCACACUUAAAAUAAUUUGAGGUGGGCUUAAUAUCUUACUUAACAAAAAGUUUUUCAGCCUGUUGGCAGUUUUGGUACCAGUCAGCUAUACCAUGAGUUUUUUUAGAUAUGUUUCAUUUCAUCUCACAUAAGUGUGCUUUCAAGUCUGUAAUGCUCCAACCGUAUCUUAUAGCUGGAAGGAAAAUAUUCAGGGCUACUGGACGGAACAGCAGAAAUAUUUUUUUAUUGAGGAAAGAGAGCAAGUUAGAAUUAUUAUUAUUCAAUUAUUUUUGUCUUAAACAGAAUAUAAGAACCAAACUCAAUCAUGCAUUUAUAGAUUCUAAUAUGCAUAACCUUGAAAAUUUUAGAAAAAAAAAUAACGAAACCCUUCCUGGAAUAAAAAUGUUUUUAUUUUAGGUCUGAAAUGCAAGUUGUUACAAUUAUUAAUGUGGGAAACAUCCAUAAAAAGUUUUACAUUUUAGAAAGGAAAACUUUAGCCAAAAUGGUAUAUGAUCUAUCUGUUUUCACAGAGACUGAUGCUAUGAGUCUUUGAGGCUGGAACUUUUCACAGGAUUUUACCAAAAAUUUAACAGGCUUGAAUGAGUUGCCCUUGGCUUUCACUUCUUGAAGCACUCAGUAAUGAAGUAUUUUCAAAUGAAGAAAACUAAAUUGCUGUCCUGAACUGUAGGUUUUGAAUGUCUCAAAUCUUGAUGAAUAGGGUACUUCAUUAAUUAGUUGAAAUAGCUUUAAGCGUUAGAAUACAGUAAGAAGCCCUUUAUCUAUAAUUAAUCAUAUAAGAUGGUAUUAAAUACCACUGGAAGAAAUUAAGCCUUGAAUAGAACUUCUGAAGUCAUGCUGGAACAAGAAUAGGAAUGUUUGCAAAUUUUAGAUCCUUGUCAUUGUCAUCUGAAAAGUUUCACAGAAGAGGCAAAUUUACAUAAUUUGAAUAAAUAUGGGAGUUUGAAAACAAAAGAUGGGAUUAAGUGGCAAAUUCAUGAGUAAGAUCCUGGCUAAAGCUGGAAGCUUUUAACUGUAAAAAGAGCAGGACUUCAAUCUUGUCUGUUUUUAUGGAUCCAAAAAGUAUAUUAAAUCCAGAAUAAUGAGCUCAAGCUUUUUUUGAAUCUGCACCAAAAUGUGCUGCCAGCUAAACCAGUUUAAUAGUUGUCAUUGAGCUCUGAAAGCAAUGCUGAUUUAGGGUGAUCACAGCAUUUCCUUGGCUUACUGCAUUCACCGUGUCUUGAAUUCAACUAGCUCUUAGCCCACCUUCAUUAUCAAGAAAGGAAAGUAGUAUUAGGACAAAACCAUUGGUAAAAUGGAUAUUGGAAGUUACAAAGAAGAAGCUUUUAACUAUUUAAAAUGAGAUGAUUAAAAACAGCGUUCUUGACAUGAUAGUCAUGGCAAGAUGAUGGUGACAAGAUUGUUUCUGGAACAGAGUGUGGCAGUUUUGUCCAUGACAAACAGGAAAACCUAGAAAAUUAAGUUUAUGAUAGGAAACCUUAGAUAUAUAACGUGUUGGUAUCUCUCAGUGGGAUUCAUGAAGGGCAUACUGUUGUCUGUUUCUACCUUGCCUAAUUUCAAGAACCUCAAAAAAAGAUUUAACUUUGAAACAUAUUUUCUUUUUUUUUUUUCUCUUAGUAUUUAAGAAGUGUCGCAGAAGCAUUAUGUGUUGCAGCAAAAUUUCUAAGUCAUGGCCUGAACCAGUGAUUAAGCACCUGGUGGGGAGGCAGGGCCAACCCUGGGGAGCUCAGGUGCAUGCAGUGUUCCUGAGUGACUGGAAGGGGUGGAGCCGGGAUCCACUCCAUCUCAGACCUCAUGUAAGGGUUGGCAAUGAAGACAAGGGUAUCACAGCGGAGGUUUCUGUGUGCUUGUGGCCUUUUAAAGGGAAGCAGAUUCUUUUCUUUGUUUCUGUGUCUGUUGCAUUUGAGCAAGUCCUCACUUGCUGCAGCCUAGGACUUGGCUGUCAUUGCUGCGCUUUCCAUCCUGUUACAUGUGUCCAGGUUAUGUUGGUUCUGCUUCAGUCAUUUGGACGUAUUAGGUGUUUCAUAUUUAUGAGUUGUUUCUGGGGUAAGGGAGUGUUUAUAACCCCAGUUGUAGUGGCAGGGAUAUGCUCUGGGUCAGUACCACGCAGGAUGGAAGGAGUUUUUGUUUGCUUGUUUAUUUAUUUAUUUGUCACAGAUACUUAGGUUCUCUCUGAUUCCCUCCAUCUCUCUAGUAUCUUUCUAUGGCACUUUAGAGGUAUUGGCUUUGCAAAAUUUGUCUUUCCUUUCCUAUCACAUUCCUGAAAAUUCUUUUUUUCUGGAACCUUCUAUUAAAUGAAAGACCAGUUAGCUCAAAGUGGGCAAAAGACUACUGUGCAUCUUAUUUGAAGAAGAUUAGAGAAAUUUCAAUUUAACUUCUACUGUUUCAUCUCUCCUGUUCCCAGAUAUCAGUACCUCUCUCUCCUCUGUUCUUGAAUCCAGCUAGUCUGCAGUGAGCUGCUGUGAUCAUGCCCCUCACUAGAAGGCAUCCUGAAAUGCUUUCUUUUGCAUUUUCAUCUAAAUUUUGGAGAAGCAGGACACAGUUUCAUAGAAUCCCAGAAUAUUCUGUGUUGGAAGGGACCCACAAUGAUCAUCAAGUCCAACUCCUGGCUCCCUGUGGCACCACCCAUCAUCCAAAUGGACUCUAGCAGCUCAAGGCCAUGUCCACUGCCCUGGGCAGACCAUUUCAUGCUCACCACCCCCUAGUAAAGAACCUAUUUCUAACCCCCAACUGACACAGCUUCAUGCCUAUGGCUGCUCCACAGCUGCAGCUCACACUGAUGGGCAUCAGCUGAGUUGUGCAUUCUGCAGUGUAGCCCAUGAGUGGAGGGUUUCCCUGCUCCCUCCAGGUCUGAUUAGCCAGGUGGCAACUUGAGAUGUGGGAUCUGGAAGCACUUCUCCCAAAGAGAGGCAUGAAAGUAUGUGCUGAGAUGAGAGAUGUGGCUGUGAAAUGUGCUAGGGGGAAGACAGAAGAAUAGUGACAGUUCUAGUAGGAAGGUUGUAUGUGACAUGAAAUAAUUGCUGCUGGUAUAAGUGUAUGUAUCUAGGCCAAAACCCUGGAGAGGACUGUGGAAGGGGAAAACCAGACUCAUACCAGUGGGCAGAAGGUCUCUUCUGCUAGACCUGGCUGUGGUGGGUGACAAGGUGUCUGCUUUUGACAUGUAAUAGCCUGUGAUGAUGUAAACUUUAAGGAAAUCUGUUGUAUAAUUUGUGUGAAGAGUAAUUUAAAUGUACCAUGCUAAAAUAAUUAACUACCACAGUAGCUUAUGGGGAGCAGUAGUUAAGUUAUGGAUGCACAGGUAUUCUCAGAGUUACUCUUAGAAUAGGAGUCCAGUUGAAAAAAGACAAAGAAAAAUUAUUUUUACAUUGUUUAUGAUGCAGCAGCUUGGUGAUUUUUUUUUUUAAUUUGGUGCAUGUUGCAUGCAAUGCAGUUGGUGCUUUAAUUAGUCCUUUGUACGUGUGGAAAUAUGAGUGGAUAUGAAGUUUGGUUCAAAACUACCUUAGUCUGUUGCCAAAAAAAAUAGUGUUUCAUCUGCAGAAUGCCAUUUAGAAGGAAUGAUUUCACAGGAUGCCACACAGAUGCUGUUGUUGUGCAUAUCUGACAAGAGCUGUGAAUUUCAUGUGGAACAGAAAUGUUUUUCUUCUGCUCACUGUUAAACUUCCUACAUGAAGCAUGUGCUUAGUAUUUAGCAGAUUUUACUACUUUAGUUUUUUCAGUGUGUUACAGAAUUCAAACAUUGCCAUGCUAUGAUCCUUUCUUCCAACCAGAACCUCCUUUGCUUCCUCAGCCCGUCUGUACUGCGUGCCACGUGACUGGAUUGUGUAUUCCUCAUGUCCAUGACUUCAGAUUCUUACCUCUAGUUUGGAUCAAUUAAUGUAUAUUAUGGUGGUCAUGGCCUUCUUCCCAUUUUACUUGGCUAAUGAUUUGUCAUGUGCUCAAGUUGAGAACUUGUCUUGAAAACAGUCCGUCUUAUGUUGCUGAAGUCCCUCACAUACUGCUCAAGUACAUUUGUUCUUCCAUGUGACAUGUUUCUUAGCAGAUUAAGAGAGAAAAUAUCAGAUGUAAAAGAUCCUAUGAAAUCUUCUUUUGAAUACCCUUGGAGCCAGUGCAGUAGUUUGUGUUCAAAGCUCUGGUUGCAUUAUGUUCACAGCUCAAUUUACCUUCUUCUGGAAUAGUUUUUGAAUGGAUCAUCUGUACUUUUGCAACUUAUUUCUCACUUAUGCUUAUGUGGGAAUGAAGGGAAUAGUGGAUGUUAUUUUACUCUUGUACAAUCAUUUUAUUAUAGCUGCAGCAACACAGUCUAAUUGAAAGUCAGAAAGCCUGCAAAGUCCUUCUGUCACCUUUCAAUCAAUUUUGAAAAAUUGUCUGUCUUUUAAAGAAACAGUUGAGCUUCUCUGAGAGCAGUGCCUCUAUGUUAAUAUAGAGCGAAGGGAACCAUUUUGCAGUAUGUAUGGUCUGCACAGCACUGCUGUGAAAAUAGCGUAUAAGUUCUUGGCAUCUGUGCCCCAGAGCACAGGUUCUGCUGACUUCCAAGUAGGCACCAUGCCAUCUGAACAGAUGGGUAUUAAUGUAAGCGUUGGAUAUAGACAUUAUGGACAUGAUUCUCAGUUCCAAAUUUAUAAGAAUAUUGUCAGUCCUGAACUCCCACCACGGGGUGUAAGGGAUAUGCUGUAAAUCCAGCUCAGUGAAGAAUUAGCUUUAUAAUAUUAGAAAUGUAAUUAUUGAAUCAACUCUAUCAUUUUCAGUAUUGGCUUAUGGUAUGAAGUUGCUCAGAGGAACUUUCUUGUUCCCAUGAGGAACAACCAAAAAAAAAAGUAUCCAUGGCAUUUACCAUUUUCACAUGGAUAAGUUAUAUUGUGAAGAUGUGCUGGAAGAAAAGAAUGGCAUGAUUUUUCUGCACACACAGAUGGAGAUUCACUGGGAAUCUGAUUAAUAUCAUUUAGCUCACCAUGUCUGUCUAUCCCAAUGCGUAAUGUGACUGUUUUGUUUGCCUUUCUUCCCCUGUGUUUUUCUUGCAAGCCUGUAUAGUAGAGUUGAUACUUGCUUUUUUAGUCCUUGCUCAUAACAAGGGGAUCUUUGGCUUUCUGGGUUCUAAACAUUCUUCUGAUUCUUCCAAGGACUCCUCUAGAUUCCAUUGAACUGGAUUUCAUCUUUUCUGCCAGAGGUUUUGUGAAUCUUGCCAUUUUCUGAAAGAUUUUUGCCUGCAAUGCCUACUCUGCUUCCUAACUUGAUAUGCAACAAGAGAUAUCUUGAGCAGUCUGAUGAGAGGUGAUCUGAAUUCUGAAAUUACAAAGCAGCCAUGGGAUAACAAAUGAUGGCAUCUCCAGUUGUACUGUGUAACUGGAAACAGUGUGAAGUGAUGUGGCUGGUCUCAUUUACAAUCAUGUAGCAGGGAGGCUGUGUUGGAAUUCAGAUGUGGGCCCUAUCUCUGAACAUUCUCUGGUGUUAAGGAUAUGACCAAAAUCCCAUUCAUUUUCUCUUUUCAUAACACUAAGAGAUUAGAAUAUGUAUUUAUACUGGAAGUCAGCUCCUUUUUGACAUGAUCAGAUUAUUUAUCUUUUGCAUCCUGCCAAAAGUGAACAUAAUGCCAUUUGUUUGUUUUCUUGGCAUUUCUAAACUAUCAUUUAAAAUAAUGUCUUUUGGGUAGUGUCAGCCCCCAAAUUGUUAGUUUUCUUACAGCAUGUCUAGUCCGGAUAAUUUCAACAAAAAAGUUGAUGUUAGUGGGAUCAUCCACUGAGGUCUUGGCUCUCAUUCAGUCUGCACAGAUGUUCUUUAGACUCUUAUCCUGUCUAGAUAAUAGGAAGCAUGCCUAGUAAGCGACUGUGGAGCAUGUUAACAUAAUUCAUGUAAUUCGCAGUACCUCAGCAUUCUGCCUGAGGCUGCAGAAUCCAAAAAUAGAACCACAGAUUCUGUACAGCUUAAUCCUACCUGCUUGGUAGUCAUUAUCUUCUUAAUAAGCAACUAACAGUUACUGUUGCUUGUGGAGAAUCUUCUAUUCAAACAAGCGUGCUUUACAUUUGGGAAGUGAUCAGGGACUUUGUCCAUGUUCUGUGGCAAAGCAUUGUGGAUGAAAGUGCUGAUACUAAAACGUUCAUUGUUCUUAGUAUUUCUAUUUUAUUUUGUGUGAAGCUGGAACAAAGAGAAACAGAUGCUGGUUAGUUAGAGAGGAAUAAAUUAAGUGAAUAAAUAAUGUGGAAUAAAUGCAGUGAUUUUUCUUAUAUUUUCAAUUAAGUUUUUAGUUAGGCAAGGGUGUUCAAUAAGGGUCUGACUGUUUUCUCCUUAAGGAUAUGCAGGUUGUAGAGGAAGAUGUACAGUUGGCCUUCUCUGCAGACAUUCUUCCCCCUACACCUCUGUUCUUCAUAGGCAGCACAUCAUGCUGCUAUCUUGCUAAGAGCUUGUUCCAAGACAAAAAAUAUUCACUUGUGUUGAAAUGAAAAUAGUACAAGAGAAUGGAAAUAAUUUUAUUUUUGGCAGUAGUUUGAGAAACAAGAAACUAGAGUUUGAUUUCUGCAACUUCUACUGACAUCUUUUAUAAUUCUUAAAUGCACCUAGCUAUUAAAUUUAUUUAGCUUUCUGGUACUGAUUUUUGUGUGCUUCAGUGUUUUUAACAGGGAGGAUAUGGUUUCCUUUGUCUCCUUCUAAGUUCACAUAGCGCAGUGAAACUCUCAACUUUGGCUUGAGCCUUUAGGUCAAGCAGUAGUACAGCCUACACAUGAUAGGAGUGGAAGGAGGGGAGGGAGGAGGAAAAAAAAAUGAAAUAAUAGCAUUUAUGGAAACAACAACAAGGCUGAAAGGGCAAGAAAAUCUUUUCAGUAUAUUUAGAACAAUUUUAGAAUAACUUAAUCAUCUUGAUCUGCAAGGGGAGUUCACUGUUCAAGAAUACGUAUGUCCUGUUUGCUCCAAUUGUUUCUUUUUGAGAAUAGGACCUAGAUAUCUAAAUUACUUAAGCAUUUUUGAAAAGUUUAAUUGCUUUAUGGAAGUGGGUCAGUAUACUGGUAGCAUAGCAGCUAGAGCUAAGAAAUACAGAAUUAAAAUUAAAUUAGUACUUUUAAAUUCAGUGAUGUUUAUUACACGUGCUAAAGAUAUAGAUAAAAUUAAAACCUUUGUAUGUAGAUAUAUAUGCAGAAAAAAUUUAUCUGCAUAUAUUAGCUGGCUAUCAAUGACAAAAUAAUUUGACUUUAUUUUCCAAUAUUUAAAAUUUUGCUGUGCAUGUUGAAUUACUUGAAAGAAGAAUGAAGGCAACUGUAUGGAAACUGUUGAGUCACGGCCUGGACCACUGAUUGACCACCUGGGGCAAGCACUGAGUUAGCCAUGGGAGCACAGGUGAAGGCAAUUCAGCUGUGUGACCAGAAGGGGGUGGAGCCUGGCUGCACCUCUCCUAGACCCCACUUAAGGGCUGACUGCCACUGGGGAAGGAUCUCUUUCUGGAGAUUGCUCCCUUUGGGGUUUUCUUUUGUGUGCCUACAACACAGGUGAGCAUUUCAUUUAUUUUUGGCUUUCCCUUUCCACUGUGAUAAUCCUUUUAGUUAUGACCCGACAUAACUGCGCCACUUUGCUGAGUGUAUAUCUGUUGAUUGUACAGCAACCAAUGUGAAUUAACUUUCUGCUAUUUGUAUAUAUUGGGAAAACUCUAGAUUUUGGAAAGUGUAUGCUUCAACGAGAGGCAAAAGAGAGCUGCACUGGAAGGUGUCAGUUACUGGUGUUGUCCCUGGACUGUGAUUCCUUCUGAGACCGAGUGUGCUAGUGAUUACCUAGACCAAAUUUUAACUGCUAUAUUAAGACAACAUUCAGGACAUCUUAAGUAUUCAUAUUCUGACAGCUGAGCCUCUUUUCGAUUCCUUCUGUAGGUUCCUAAUAUAUGAGCCAUCCAAAACCAUUAGCCACUUUUGAAAAGUUCUCCCUACUUGCCUGAGGAUAGUAGGGUUUUAUAUGGCACAUAAAGCUAUUAAACUUGCUGUUACUUGUUUCUAAAUAUACUAGGUUACAACCUAGAAUUUUUAGUCCUUGCUCUGUUUUUCUCAGCUUGUACGUUUUACUGUUAGUAUUGGAGUUCAAUAGCUUUGACCUACCUCCAGGUGAAGGUUAGGGAAUGCCUCGUUGUCUAUAGCCAGCAAGCCGAGAUUUUGUCUCUUCAAGUAGCAGAAGUUGCACAAGCAUACUUAAAUAUAAUUUUGUUUGAAUAUAUCUAUUUGAUCAUUGCAUCAGUUAGCAAAAUGAUAUACACCAGGUCUAGUCUAAAGCAAUAUAACAGCAAACACUUCAUGCCUCAAGAUGGAACCUCUCAGACACUGGUGGGUUGCAUUGACUCUCAUUGAAAUAUUACAUGUAAGUGAAGUUAGGUUAAAGUCUGUGAGAGGAGGCAUGGUUCUUGACAACCACCCAAAUAUAAAGUGAAUUUAAUGGAAAGAUAAGUUGUAUUUUAUGUAUUGUUUAUGAGGUGAUUAGUUCCUAAAUAUGUGAAAUUGAUCAUCUAACAAAUUUCGUACACUAGCAUCUUCUUCAACUCAGCAUGCUUCUGUUUUAACACCUGGAUCACAUUCCCAUGGAAACUGGAGUUUCUCUUGUUCCAUUAUUUGCUUCACCAGAAUUUAUCAGUUCCUGAUAUCCUUUCUUUUUCUGAAAAUAUCUCUUGUGAAAGUUCACAAGAUCACAAAUAAUGCUGUAAUGCUUUGUAAGUCUAGGGCGUGCCCAUAGUGUGUAAUAAGCUAUCAUCAUACAGAGAAUGAGUCUCUGCUGCUAUUCAGACCGACAAGAACACACUUAGAUGGUUACUGUUUUAUUUUGUACUGUUCUUCUGUUGUACGGAUGGGUAUGAUUAAAAAUUUCUUAAAAUUGUUAACAAGCAGCAUACAUUGAGAGAACUGCAGGGGGAGAAAAGUAAAUCACACUGCCCAAAUUACACAAUUUCUUCAAAAUAGAAGCAUGUUCAAUGUGACAGAUACCCUGAUACCUGGGAGCUUUUAUGUGGCUGAAGUUACUGAAAAGGUAAUAGGCUGUUGUAGUUGGAUAGCCAUUUUCCUGCCUUGGUACCUCAGAUAGCUUGGCUUGGUCAGUCGGUCCCUGUGAAUGUUCUGUGGAGAAGUUCAUGAGAAGGAACUCAGUGUUUGGCAGGCAUGGGCAUGCAAAAUAUAAUAUUUUUCUUUUCUAGAUGGUCUAAAUGACUUGAAUACCUGAAGCUAUAACAUUAAUAAUAAUCAUGAAAUAACUUGAAGGGUAAGGUUUUUUUCUUUGGAGCUUUGGAAAACUUAUUUUAGCGAAGCUGGCUUGCAAAUGUAUUAUCAUGAGAUCUCUGAAAACAUGUCAUGGAAGCAGGUUUUACGUGUUCUUCUGGAAGACCAGUGGUGCUGUAGGAUAGGCAUAGAAUUAGGCAAAUGGUUGCAUUGUUUCAAGAGCUGACUAAGACCUGUUUCUGUGUUAAUGAAAGAAGGCAUCUUGGAAGUACAGUGAUCUUUGAGGACCUCUAGAAAGCAGGCUGCAAAUAUAAGUUAGCAGUAUGCUUCAGGAAAUGCAAAAUAUUUAAGGAACCAUGUUGUUUUCCUUCAACCUACAUUCUUGGUCAUCAGUGAGUCUGUAUCUAGACUCAGACCCAUCAAAUACUUAGUCGUUGUAGAAGUCUUGACGUAUUUAUUGUGCUACAUACUAAAACUAAAUCAUCUGAAAAAAAAAAAGUUUAUUUAACUUCUAAUUUAUUUAUUUAACUUUAUUUAACUUAAAUUUAACUUCUUUUUUAAUAUCUCUGGGGUAGAAACUUAUUUGUCUGGUUUCCUGGAGUAGCCUAUUUCUUGAUGAAAGUAUCGUUAUGGGAGAACUGUGUUUUUUGUUUCUGUUGCCCAAGACUGUACACCUGAGCGUUCACCCUCACUGAAAAAACAGACUUCCCAAGAGAUAGCAGCAGCCUACUCAACUGGUAACAGGACUCCACUGGCAUAACAGCUCUUGAGUUCUACUGUGGGCUGCAGUGAGUGGUGCUGCCUGAUGGCUCUGCAGUUUAUGGCAUUUAUUGGGCAAGUGGCCUGGUGUUAGCAAAAUGAAAAAUAAUUGCAAAGGGUUAUAACUGGUAAUCUUUUUCUUGAUAUCGAGCAGUUGAAUUGUGCUCAAACUGACAGCACACCGUAAAUGUAUGAACUAUGGAUUCCUUAGAAAUAGUGAAGUCAGAAUUUUGAUCUUUUUUCCUUGAGAGCGAUCCUGGCUGA
This 20917-nucleotide long non-coding RNA is filed under the name Gallus gallus (chicken). The record is from RNAcentral. Lineage: Eukaryota; Metazoa; Chordata; Aves; Galliformes; Phasianidae.